Molecule: ribosomal RNA, 467 nt
Filed under: uncultured bacterium
Lineage: Bacteria
Description: partial 16S ribosomal RNA
Rfam family: Bacterial small subunit ribosomal RNA
Source: RNAcentral
GACGAACGCUGGCGGCGUGCUUAACACAUGCAAGUCGAACGGAAAGGCCCUGCUUUUGUGGGGUGCUCGAGUGGCGAACGGGUAAGUAACACGUGAGUAACCUGCCCUUGACUUUGGGAUAACUUCAGGAAACUGGGGCUAAUACCGGAUAGGAGCUCCUGCUGCAUGGUGGGGGUUGGAAAGUUUCGGCGGUUGGGGAUGGACUCGCGGCUUAUCAGCUUGUUGGUGGGGUAGUGGCUUACCAAGGCUUUGACGGGUAGCCGGCCUGAGAGGGUGACCGGCCACAUUGGGACUGAGAUACGGCCCAGACUCCUACGGGAGGCAGCAGUGGGGAAUAUUGCACAAUGGGCGGAAGCCUGAUGCAGCAACGCCGCGUGCGGGAUGACGGCCUUCGGGUGGUAAACCGCUUUCGCCUGUGACGAAGCGUGAGUGACGGUAAUGGGUAAAGAAGCACCGGCUAACUACGU